GAAAGGCUAAUCAAGCCUGGUGAUAGCUGGUUCUCCCCGAAAGCUAUUUAGGUAGCGCCUCGGACGAAUACCAUUGGGGGUAGAGCACUGUUUCGGCUAGGGGGUCAUCCCGACUUACCAAACCGAUGCAAACUCCGAAUACCAAUGAGUACUAUCCGGGAGACAGACUGCGGGUGCUAACGUCCGUAGUCAAGAGGAAAACAAUCCAGACCGCCAGCUAAGGCCCCAAAAUCAUAGUUAAGUGGGAAACGAUGUGGGAAGGCAUAGACAGCUAGGAGGUUGGCUUAGAAGCAGCCACCCUUUAAAGAAAGCGUAAUAGCUCACUAGUCGAGUCGGCCUGCGCGGAAGAUGUAACGGGGCUAAAACUAUGUGCCGAAGCUGCGGAUUUACGCAUUAGCGUAAGUGGUAGGGGAGCGUUCUGUAAGCCGAUGAAGGUGUAUUGAGAAGUAUGCUGGAGGUAUCAGAAGUGCGAAUGCUGACGUGAGUAACGACAAAACGGGUGAAAAACCCGUUCGCUGAAAGACCAAGGGUUCCAGUCCAACGUUAAUCGGGGCUGGGUGAGUCGACCCCUAAGGCGAGGCCGAGAGGCGUAGUCGAUGGGAAAUUGGUUAAUAUUCCAAUACUUCUGUGUAAUGCGAUGAGAGGACGGAGAAGGUUAAGUCAGCCUGGCGUUGGUUGUCCAGGUGGAAGGCUGUAGGCAUGCAUCUUAGGCAAAUCCGGGGUGCUCUAUGCUGAGAGCUGAUAGCAAGCUGUACUUGUACAGUGAAGUGGCUGAUACCAUGCUUCCAGGAAAAGUCUCUAAGCUUCAGUUACACAGGAAUCGUACCCGAAACCGACACAGGUGGUCAGGUCGAGUAGACCAAAGCGCUUGAGAGAACUCUGCUGAAGGAACUAGGCAAAAUGGUACCGUAACUUCGGGAGAAGGUACGCUGCUGACGGUGAUGGGACUUGCUCCCUGAGCUAUUGGCAGCCACAGAAACCAGGCCGCUGCAACUGUUUAUUAAAAACAUAGCACUCUGCAAACACGAAAGUGGACGUAUAGGGUGUGAUGCCUGCCCGGUGCUGGAAGGUUAAUUGAUGGGGUUAGCGUAAGCGAAGCUCUUGAUCGAAGCCCCAGUAAACGGCGGCCGUAACUAUAACGGUCCUAAGGUAGCGAAAUUCCUUGUCGGGUAAGUUCCGACCUGCACGAAUGGCAUAAUGAUGGCGGCGCUGUCUCCAGCAGAGGCUCAGUGAAAUCGAAAUCGCUGUGAAGAUGCAGUGUACCCGCGGCUAGACGGAAAGACCCCGUGAACCUUUACUGCAGCUUGACAUUGAACUUUGACCUUACUUGUGUAGGAUAGGUGGGAGGCUUUGAAGUUAGAACGCUAGUUCUAAUGGAGCCGUCCUUGAAAUACCACCCUGGUAAUGUUGAGGUUCUAACUCUGCCCCGUAAUCCGGGGCGAGGACCAUGUCUGGUGGGUAGUUUGACUGGGGCGGUCUCCUCCUAAAGAGUAACGGAGGAGUACGAAGGUGCGCUCAGCGUGGUCGGAAAUCACGCGUAGAGUAUAAAGGCAAAAGCGCGCUUAACUGCGAGACCCACAAGUCGAGCAGGUACGAAAGUAGGUCUUAGUGAUCCGGUGGUUCUGUAUGGAAGGGCCAUCGCUCAACGGAUAAAAGGUACUCUGGGGAUAACAGGCUGAUACCGCCCAAGAGUUCAUAUCGACGGCGGUGUUUGGCACCUCGAUGUCGGCUCAUCUCAUCCUGGGGCUGAAGCAGGUCCCAAGGGUAUGGCUGUUCGCCAUUUAAAGAGGUACGCGAGCUGGGUUUAGAACGUCGUGAGACAGUUCGGUCCCUAUCUACCGUGGGCGCUGGAAAUUUGAGAGGAUCUGCUCCUAGUACGAGAGGACCAGAGUGGACGAACCUCUGGUGUACCGGUUGUCACGCCAGUGGCAUCGCCGGGUAGCUAUGUUCGGAAGGGAUAACCGCUGAAAGCAUCUAAGCGGGAAGCCUACCUCAAGAUAAGAUUUCCCUAGGACUUUAUGUCCUCUAAAGAGCCGUUCGAGACUAGGACGUUGAUAGGUUGGGUGUGGAAGCACGGUGACGUGUGAAGCUGACCAAUACUAAUUGCUCGUGAGGCUUGACUAU
Molecule: ribosomal RNA, 2124 nt
Filed under: Acinetobacter beijerinckii ANC 3835
Lineage: Bacteria; Pseudomonadati; Pseudomonadota; Gammaproteobacteria; Moraxellales; Moraxellaceae
Description: bacterial LSU rRNA
Rfam family: Bacterial large subunit ribosomal RNA
Source: RNAcentral